CAUGGAAUGCUACAUUUCCAUUGGUAAUGG
This 30-nucleotide transfer RNA is filed under the name Bacopa cochlearia. Its description in RNAcentral is "partial tRNA-Phe". Lineage: Eukaryota; Viridiplantae; Streptophyta; Magnoliopsida; Lamiales; Plantaginaceae. The record is from RNAcentral.